AGCAGUGGGGAAUUUUCCGCAAUGGGCGAAAGCCUGACGGAGCAACGCCGCGUGAGGGAGGAAGGUCUUUGGAUUGUAAACCUCUUUUCUCAAGGAAGAAGUUCUGACGGUACUUGAGGAAUCAGCCUCGGCUAACUCCGUGCCAGCAGCCGCGGUAAUACGGGGGAGGCAAGCGUUAUCCGGAAUUAUUGGGCGUAAAGCGUCCGCAGGUGGUCAGCCAAGUCUGCUGUCAAAUCAGGUUGCUUAACGACCUAAAGGCGGUGGAAACUGGCAGACUAGAGAGCAGUAGGGGUAGCAGGAAUUCCCAGUGUAGCGGUGAAAUGCGUAGAGAUUGGGAAGAACAUCGGUGGCGAAAGCGUGCUACUGGGCUGUAUCUGACACUCAGGGACGAAAGCUAGGGGAGCGAAAGGGAUUA
RNAcentral lists this ribosomal RNA (415 nucleotides) under uncultured bacterium. RNAcentral's name for it is "bacterial SSU rRNA". It matches the Rfam family "Bacterial small subunit ribosomal RNA", at positions 350 to 780 of the family's 1533-position model. The record is from RNAcentral.